Molecule: long non-coding RNA, 962 nt
Organism: Dendroctonus ponderosae (mountain pine beetle)
Lineage: Eukaryota; Metazoa; Arthropoda; Insecta; Coleoptera; Curculionidae
Exons: 2
Source: RefSeq, a predicted model, not a curated record
AAUUUGCUCAACUCAUCUGUGCGGAUGGUCGUUUAGAAUUUAUUGGUUUCGUCAUUUACUUACGUCUUACACUUGAUUAUUGAUUCUUACUGCAGCGUAUAAUUAAGUUUAGACUACCGAAAAUGUGAAAAAUUUAUUAUUCUUAAAGAAAAAAUGAUUAACGAACUAUAACCACUUAGUCAUGUAGGCAAGCAAUUCAAGCUCAGUAACGUUUCGAGAGCAAGCUGCUACCGAUCUCGUUCUGGAUAAACUGGAUAGUGAAUAACAACAAACGAUUCGGCUCGAUAAUAACUCAAUCAUAAUUCUUAUUCUAGUUCCAGGAAAAUAAUGCCGGAUGUUUGAAACGCCAGUUGCUUUUCCGUUUAUUUAUUUACCUUUUUCGUAAUUUCUCCUUCAUGCUCGUGGCCCAGAUUGCAGUCUAUAUAAACACGAUAUUCAACAAUCAUAUUAAACUACUGUACAGCAAUCUAGUGACGUCGUGGAAUUCAAAUAUUGACAAAUAUGACGUCAAUCGUUAGGUCAGAAAUAGAAUAAUAGUGUAACAGAUCCAGCGCGAACCAGUCAUCGUUCAACCGGAAAAAUACUCCAGUCGUUUUAGUCCUGGAUGAAGGAGAAAGCGAUAAAGUUCCAAGGAUACUGUGUGGAAACUACAAACAUAUAAACCCUCUUUACUAAAAUAUGCAUAGGAAUGUAUGCACUUCUGUUCAAGAUCCAUACUGCACCCAAUGGAGAAUUGUGAUCGUGGGCGAAGGAGAAAGGAGAAAUAAAGGGAAGUCUCAGUGGGAAAGUUUUACGAAGGAUUAUUAGUCCAGCUAGUGUUCACGUUACCAGCAGAAGCAAUUAUUCAAACAAUAGUUCAAGCCGCUAUUUCUCGAUUAGUUUUGCAGGCUAAAGUGAUUUUUAAAUGUUUUAAAGGCAAAUAAACCGGGUUUAUAUAGUAAAUAAAUGUUUUUUUAGAAAAA